GUGGGGAAUCUUGCGCAAUGGGCGAAAGCCUGACGCAGCCAUGCCGCGUGAAUGAUGAAGGUCUUAGGAUUGUAAAAUUCUUUCACCGGGGACGAUAAUGACGGUACCCGGAGAAGAAGCUCCGGCUAACUUCGUGCCAGCAGCCGCGGUAAUACGAAGGGGGCUAGCGUUGCUCGGAAUUACUGGGCGUAAAGGGCGCGUAGGCGGACAGCUUAGUCAGAGGUGAAAGCCCAGGGCUCAACCUUGGAAUUGCCUUUGAUACUGGCUGUCUUGAGUUUGGGAGAGGUGAGUGGAACUCCGAGUGUAGAGGUGGAAUUCGUAGAUAUUAGGAAGAACACCAGUGGCGAAGGCGGCUCACUGGUCCGGUACUGACGCUGAGGUGCGAAAGCGUGGGGAGCAAACAGGAUUAGAAACCCGUGUAGUCC
Molecule: ribosomal RNA, 425 nt
Filed under: uncultured bacterium
Lineage: Bacteria
Description: partial 16S ribosomal RNA
Rfam family: Bacterial small subunit ribosomal RNA
Source: RNAcentral